CCUGCGGAAGGAUCAUCA
This 18-nucleotide ribosomal RNA is filed under the name Inocybe serrata. Its description in RNAcentral is "partial small subunit ribosomal RNA". Lineage: Eukaryota; Fungi; Basidiomycota; Agaricomycetes; Agaricales; Inocybaceae. The record is from RNAcentral.